Molecule: long non-coding RNA, 5437 nt
Organism: Schistocerca piceifrons (Central American locust)
Lineage: Eukaryota; Metazoa; Arthropoda; Insecta; Orthoptera; Acrididae
Exons: 2
Source: RefSeq, a predicted model, not a curated record
CAGAGUGAGCUGAGUUUUGCAGGAUCUCUGUUUGCGGAAUCCAUGUUGAUUUUUGUAGAGGAGCUGUUCAUUUUCCAAGAACAUCAUAAUUCUUGAACAUAAAACAUGUUCCAUAAUUUUACCAUCGUGAAUAAAUGUUUAAAGAGCACAAUAAUUAUUAAAAAAAUAAAUAAAAAACAGUAUGGUAGCUGUGUGUGCUAUAUUACAUACAUGGGCACACAUUUCCAAGCUGCAAAAGAAAUUGUCCAUAGCCCUUCGUUUUAAAAUAGAAUCUUAUUUUUUAGCAGCAGUGUUACACCAUCUUCUAAGAACCAUGGUGUCAGUUCAAGUAGCUUCUGCUAGCUGCCUGAUAUAAUGCAGUGCCAGAUCUAGCGCUGUCAAAAUCCUUGGUACGAGUGAUCACUAGUACAACUUCUUUACGGAAUUCCUCAUUGUCUCCAGUGGGUUCACUAACAAUUUCGGCAAUUGCAACAUUGGUCACUUCAGACUGUUCAUCCAUUCUAAAAUAUCACUUUUAUUCGUGUUUUCAAAUACAUCAGUUCUGCCAGUGGUAGGUCAUCUUCGUCUGUACUGUAGAUAUCCAUUUCAUUCUGUAAAAUUUGGUUCCAAGACGUUUUUAGUGUGUUUGCCUUUAUCUCAGACCAUGAAUCGGCUAUCCAGUAAACUAUGUCUUUUAUUGUAGUGUCUGAAGCAAAUGACGACGAUAACUUUCUUUCGAGCAUUGUAAAAUGCCUUGAUCCAUACGCUGAAAUAAAGUCGUCAUAUUGGGGGUAAGAACAAUGUGCGAAUACUGCCAGUUCUACCUCAUCAGGGUGUGAACCAGCGUUGUCAAAUGUUAAGAUUGCUGCGCAAGGCAAGCACUUUUUUGUUAGGUAUCUUUUAGUCACUGGAACAAAAUUGUCAAAAAACCACUUCUUAAAAAUAUUUUUGUCCAUCCAGGCAGAGUUUUGGUGGACAUAUGUUACAGACAGUGCGGAAGCUGUGAUAUUUUUAAAAGCUGUAGGUGAAGCAGAUUUUCCUAUUGCCUGCAACUUCAAUUUGUGGUCUCCACUCGCAUUCAGUGCAGCGAGAACUGUUAACCUCUCCUUAAAUUUUUUGUUGCCAGGGCAGCCUCCUCCUCUUUUGAGCCUGGAGUUUUAGAUGGAAGCAUUUUAUAAUUUAACCCCGUUUUAUCAUAGCUAUGUAGUUGAUCAGGAGUAAGAUAUUCUUUCUGUAUAAUUUUUCUUAAUUUCUCACAAAAUUGUGCAACAGUUUGAGAAUCAACAGAAAGCUUUUCACCACAAAUUUCCAUCUGCUUUAUGCCGUAUUACUUCUUCCACCUACCCAACCAUCCUGAACAUGCAGUAAAACCUUCCUCACCUUCUUUAAACUCAUUCCUAAAAAACACAGCUUUUUGUUGCAGAAUCCUUUUUGUCUUUGUUAAGUAAACCAAAUGAGUAAUCUUACUCAGAUUUUCUCAUCUGUUCAAAUGACAAAAUAGAACAGUUGUUUGGUGAAAACUUCUCAGUUUUGUCUCUGUUUCUAUGCCAAUCGCUGGCCAUUGUGACCGAGUGGUUCUAGGCACUUCAGUCUGGAAUUGUGCUGCUGCUACGGUUGCAGGUUCGAAUCCUUCCUCGGGCAUGGAUGUGUGUGAUGCCCUUACGUUAUUUAGGUUUAAGUAGUUCUAAGUCUAGGGGAAUGAUGAUCUCAGAUGUUAAGUCCCAUAGUGCUCAGAGCCAUUUGAACCAUUUAUGCCAACGUCGAACUCCAAUUUCACAUUCAGUGACACAGUUUUUCUCGUUCUCCUAUCACUCAUUGUAAUCUGAGAAUUAAAACAUUAAGAAACUCACAGUUACAUAUGUGCAGUACACUCUUCAUACAUACAACACCUUUAAACUAAUGUGACACAGGUGGGCUCACUACCGUACAGAUGUUACUACACAACCAACUACACAGUGCAUACACAUUGGUCAGCCAUUGGUGUAAAAUUUGUACUGUAUUUUUUAUUAGGCAUAUUGUAUUUUAAUGACCACUGUUGCCAAGUGGGCACAACAAUAGUGGUAACAAUAAGGAUGGUAUGCACUGUAGAACUGAUUGUCAGGUGGUCCCAGUUAUUGAAGAGCUGACAGAGAAAGAGCAAGCACACUCCUCGAAACCUGAUAGUACCUGUCCAUCUGUAAUAGAAUUGCAUUAGCAGCCUGAGGCCAAGAUUAUUUCUGGGCAUUAUAAACAAAAACUCUUAAGUUGUACAGUUUUACCCGUAUUGCACAUUGAAAAUCGAAAGUAAGUUCGAAAUGUAACACAUUCGAAAGUCUGUAAAAUGUACUUGUGGACAACUCAUUGAAAUGGGUUUUUAAUUUACAUUUAUGUAAAAUUUUAUUUUUCUUAAAACCAGCUUGAAUUACACAGAAUAUCGAAAUACUGGGGCUUCACCGUAAUGUCUGAGUAGAAUUGAUGUCCCCAUGAUGUACUGAUUUCAUAAGUUUAUUUUGAAAAUGAGCUUGUUCCCAUUAAGAUGAUAUGACAAUCACAGAUCAAGAUUAACAGAUGAAUUCUAUAGUCUUUUAGUCACAGAAAAAGUUUCCAGAGCAGUGCCACAUUGUGCUUUUGUUGGGUUAUAUUGUCAGUUUGUUGAAAAGGCACAUUGGUUAUGACUGCCUGUGUGUAUCUGUCUAUGUCUUUCCGUUUUAACCUUCCCCAACCUAUCCCUCUCUCCUCCCUGAACAAGGAACUAUUAGUUCCAAAAGCUAGAUAUUGAGUCUCUUUUACUGUUAUAUGAGCUGUUUGGCAGUAAUGCACCUUUUAUGUAUCCUGAAGGUAUGUACUGGCCAAUAUUCUUCUCUUAAAAUUUAUAAGUACCUCAGUUGAAUUGUCCUUUGAUUUGAUACAAAUGUUGUAAGUACAUUGCCUGUAGUUGUUGGUUAAACUAAAUUAAGUAAAUUUAUUAUCUAGGUCUAUUGCUGUCAGGUUUUCACAUAUAAUUUUUAUGAUACCAUGUACUCUAAAGCUAUUUUAUGUAUUUUCUUGCUGAAUUCUAGCUUAGAUAUUAAGCUGUUUAAAGAUAUAGAAACAUUACUAAAAACAGCAACAAAUUAUUUCUCACUGCAGUCUUUCUCAGAAGGAACAAUUCAACAACAGUUCAACAUUUUAUAAAUUGGAGGGUCCAUACUCCUGCACCACAUAUGUAAUUUGUAAGCAUUUGUGAUAAUACUAGUCUUGGUUUCAAAUUAAAUGAACUGUGGCAGUUCUGAUGUGCAAGUAUGAAAAAAAUUACUUUUUUGUUUCAUGUAAGCCCUUCAUUUCAUGUAAAUUAGGAAGUGAAAAUAUUUUGUAUUCUAUGAUCAUGAGAAUAAUGUAUUUUAUUACAUGAGGCAUUUUCUCUUCAGAUCUUUACAUCACUACUGCCAAAUUAGAAGGUUUAAAGGGUAAGCUAUGGAUUACAUUCAGGGGAAGCUUUCUGACCAUUUAGUUUUAGCUGUUACAUCACUUCCCUAAUUGCUGAAGGUAAAUAUCGGAAUGAUUCCUUUGGAAAGAACAAAUCUUGUUUCUUUCCUAUCAUUGGUCAGUCCCAACAUGCACUCUGUCUUUAAUUAUCCUAUUGUCAAUGGGACAAAUCUUAAAUCCUUGUUUUAAAUCUUACUACAAGUGGUAACAUUGUCCCAUUUUGUGGUUUACAUGCACACAAUAAUUCUGAAAGAUGGAUAUACUUGAAUGUGCCACUUAAAUUGGCAUGAAUUUCUUAGCAGUACAAGCCACAAUUACAUCAUCUUGUAAGCAUAUUAUGAUAUAAUCAUUGCAUUGGUGUUGCAUGUGAUUAUUAUAUUACUCUGUAUUAGUUCAGUUUUUGUCUUCUAUUUUUCAUUGUUCACAGAUGCUUUCUUUCUUAUGAAUUGUAUUAAGAAACUUACAAAUUGUUCAUAAAAUUAAGAUAUUUUGUGUCAAGCCUGUAUUGGUCAUAAAAUUUGGAUGCUGAAUGUUGCAGCUGAAAAUUUGGUGGAGAGAGCAGAAAUACCAGUGUGUUACGUUAAUAUCUCAUUCUGAAUAGAUACCAGCUGUCAUUCUUCUGAUAGUUAUAUGUAUUUUUACCGACCAUACUAUGUAGGCAGAUGACAUAGAAAUUAUUUAUUUAGUUAAUUAUACUUCAAGCUUCGCAAGUAAACAUUUUAAUAAUCAUAUGACAUUUGUCAAGAAAAGCUUGUCUACUUUUGUGAUUAACAUGCACAAGAAACCAUCGUAUAAAUGUUAUGAGCGUUGUGUAACAUCUCAGGCUUCAUCUCUCUCAGGGUAUUUUGUUAAUGAGGGUAGCAGCAGUGUGUUACAAAUUGCUGUCUGAAAGUAGCACAUUCUGUUUAAAACCAAGUAUUUUUAUAACUUUCUGACUUGGACAUAAGACAGCUGUUCCUGUGUAAAAAUUAACCUUUGAAUGUUUGAUCUCUAAUGCAAAAUAAGGAUGAAAAAUAUGAGGAUAGACAACUUGUAAUUCAGAGGAAGUAUUUAGCAAUGGCUAGGCAUACAGAAGUGUGAAUAGUUAUUGUAGCUCAGCUAUAUACUUCAUAACAGUGUAGUAUGCAUGUGCAUGUAUUCGUUCUUUCUACGCUGUAUGGCAGCUAGGUGGACAUAAUUGCCACCUCCACCUCCCUAUCCCCACCAUAAUGUUAAAUGCGAAGUACAGUAGAUAACUCAAUAAAAUAUAUUGAGAAGAGUUCAAAUCUACAUUUGAUUGUUUCAGUUUAGAUUUUUUCCUCAAUUUUUCUAAAUCACCAUCAAUUAAAGUUGUAGUCCCUGCCUUGUCCUUGUCCUUCCAGUAUUCAUAUUACACCAGUUUAUUAAUGUUUAUAAGCACAUAUUACUAUGAGGACAUGGUAGAAUAUGUUUUUGAAUGUCAGUUCAGAAGUUCUGGCCAAACAUUUCUGACUAUUCAUGUUCCAUUGUUGACAUCAUUCAUGUGAGGCAGCAUAAUCUUUAAAAUAUAUGAUUCCCAAGCUGGGUUAAAAGACCUGUUCAGUGAUACAGAUGUAGGCUACCUGUAGUACCUAAACUGGACAAAAUUAAUUUUAAAACAAAACUCUAGCUUUGCAUUCCCUAAUAACGUAUUUCUGACUGCAUUUGGUAAGAGUUCAGGUCUACAGUCCUCUAAAGUACAUCUUUGUCUUUCCCUCUACAGCUAUUUGUCCUUUGUAGUGUUAAUUUCACAGUGACUGUUUUAUGUACAUCAAUUUGUAUCUUGCAUUGUAUUAUGAUCAGGAAAAUGGGGUUUCCUUAAAAUAAUCACUUCUGUGGUUGGGGAUUGCCUUAAUUUGGAGAUAUAUGUUUUUAAUGCGUCCAAGCUUUUUUUUGCCCUGUGCCCAUAUUGUGUAUGAAUAAGCAAUGUUCCAUUUCCCUGUCCUCUGCAUUGUAGUUGCAGUAUCUGUUCAACAUUUUAAGCUAAAAGUAUUAAAUUGUUGGUGUUUGAUGACUA